Molecule: ribosomal RNA, 274 nt
Filed under: uncultured soil bacterium
Lineage: Bacteria
Description: partial 16S ribosomal RNA
Rfam family: Bacterial small subunit ribosomal RNA
Source: RNAcentral
AGAAUCAACGCUGGCGGCGUGCCUAACACAUGCAAGUCGAACGCGACUUGGGACUUCGGUUCCAAGUUGAGUGGCGAACGGGUGAGUAACACGUGGGUGAUCUACCUUCGAGUGGGGGAUAACGUCCCGAAAGGGACGCUAAUACCGCAUGACGUUCUGGGUUUGAAGACCUGGAAACCAAAGCCGGGGACCGCAAGGCCGUGGCGCUUAAAGAGGAGCCCGCGUCCGAUUAGCUAGUUGGCGGGUAAUGGCCCACCGAAGGCGACGAUCGGUA